UAGGGAAUCUUCCACAAUGGACGCAAGUCUGAUGGAGCAACGCCGCGUGAGUGAAGAAGGGUUUCGGCUCGUAAAACUCUGUUGUUAAAGAAGAACAUAUCUGAGAGUAACUGUUCAGGUAUUGACGGUAUUUAACCAGAAAGCCACGGCUAACUACGUGCCGG
Molecule: ribosomal RNA, 164 nt
Filed under: uncultured bacterium
Lineage: Bacteria
Description: partial 16S ribosomal RNA
Rfam family: Bacterial small subunit ribosomal RNA
Source: RNAcentral